AACGAACGCUGGCGGCAGGUCUUAGGCAUGCAAGUCGAACGGGUGAAGCAGAGCUUGCUCUGUGGAUCUAGUGGCGCACGAGUGAGUAACGCGUGGGAAACUGCCCACCACUGGGGAAUAACGUUUGGAAACGAACGCUAAUACCGCAUACGCCGGAAACGGGAAAGAUUUAUCGGUGGUGGAUGUGCCCGCGUUGGAUUAGCUUGUUGGUGGGGUAACGGCCUACCAAGGCGAUGAUCCAUAGCUGGUCUGAGAGGACGAUCAGCCACGCUGGAACUGAGACACGGUCCAG
RNAcentral lists this ribosomal RNA (292 nucleotides) under uncultured bacterium. RNAcentral's name for it is "partial 16S ribosomal RNA". It matches the Rfam family "Bacterial small subunit ribosomal RNA", at positions 29 to 334 of the family's 1533-position model. The record is from RNAcentral.